This is a long non-coding RNA of Paralichthys olivaceus (Japanese flounder), 1234 nucleotides long. RefSeq lists it as uncharacterized. Lineage: Eukaryota; Metazoa; Chordata; Actinopteri; Pleuronectiformes; Paralichthyidae. The record is from RefSeq and is a predicted model, not a curated record.
AACGGCAUGAAAAAAGCAAUAGAACAGACGAACUUUCUAAAUAAGUUUAAAUAUAUAAGAAAUAAGCACAUAAAUAAUGAAAGAAGACAAAGAUAAGGAAGAAACAAGGAAGAUUCAGCCCCUCUCUAGUAGUCAGCAGCCUACGAGUUCUCACGGGCUGAUCCUGGAAUAAACCCUGUUUUUAACCAUGACCUCGGGCCUCGUGUCUACUACUUGGGGGAGCUACAUCCAGCCCUUCGUGGAGGCCAAAUGACUUCUCUGAAGCUGUUAUCACUGAAGCAAAGUUCCUUAAUGCUGGUGCUGCUUCUGCAGUGUCAGGGAGAUCUGCUGGCACCAAAUGGAAAAGGCAGGUCGAGCAAGGCAAAGGGCCUGUGGACAAGAAAGCUCGUGGAGAGGUGACUGUUCUCCCUCCUGAAGAGCUCAAGAGGAUCUACCUGUCAAGAAACAGGCUGGAGCAAUGGUGCCACACCCCCUUCUUUGCCACCACUGUGACUGGCUGCUAAGUCAGGGUAGCUAUUAAUGACAGCAGCAGUGACCCACUGCACUGUGUUGCUGAAAUUGUGUCUGUGGUGGAGACGGAGCAGGUCUACCAGCUUGGAUCCAUGCGGACAAACCUGGUAUUUCAACUCAGGCACGCUCGUACUGAGCAGAUCGUGACUGUCAGUUCUGCAUCCAGCCAGGAAUUCACAGAAACUGAGUUGAUGCAGUGGAAACUGAAGAUGAUGGCUGCUGGGAUACAAGUUCUAACUCCAGUCAAAAUCACCCCGAAGGAGCAGUCCAUAACAGAAGCCCUGGAUCACACAUUCUCUCAAAAAGUGAUCGAUUUUAUGUGGCAAGGAAGAACAGAUUCCAACAGAUUCCAAGCAGCACCUCUGAAUUUUGCCAAGAGGAAAAUACAGAUGAACAGGACAGUAUAAGAAUGUGCAGUCAUACUGACAGGGUGAAAGAAAUCCACGAUGAAGUUAAACAAGGAGACAAAAGAACUUGACAGAAGACUACAGAGGUCAAUCUGAAGAGCAGACCCUCUUCCAUUGUCAAGUCCAGGAGAAAAUCCCCUCCUCAAGCGCACACUGAUGAUUAUCAGGGAGUAGGCCCUUUCAUCAAGAGAAAGACCAGACCCUUCACGAUCACAAGUCUUAAAAUGAACUCCAUGAAGCUGUAUACGCUGAGCUCGACCUGUGGGUCCCCAUCAGAGGACACCAGCUCUGUUUGAGGACUGACCACCUCCUCCUCC